CUUGUAAGGAAAACCCAAUGGAGUUAUACUUCAAUCAAGGAUUUGAGGAAUCCCUUGAUUGAGACGAUUUGCUGAUCCAUGUCCAUAUUAGAUAUGUGCAUGGUAAAUCACAUUCCUUCCUUCUUGACAGAUAUGAUUCGAUUAUGUGCUUGGCUGAAGGAUUUAUCUUGACUCUUUGGCUUGAUCUGAUUUCCUUUCUUCUCUUGAUGGCUUG
Molecule: long non-coding RNA, 214 nt
Filed under: Solanum tuberosum (potato)
Lineage: Eukaryota; Viridiplantae; Streptophyta; Magnoliopsida; Solanales; Solanaceae
Description: long non-coding RNA (STUB_LNC000415)
Source: RNAcentral